This 1284-nucleotide ribosomal RNA is filed under the name Microbacterium sp. LC469. RNAcentral describes it as "bacterial SSU rRNA". It matches the Rfam family "Bacterial small subunit ribosomal RNA", at positions 57 to 1353 of the family's 1533-position model. The record is from RNAcentral. Lineage: Bacteria; Bacillati; Actinomycetota; Actinomycetes; Micrococcales; Microbacteriaceae.
GCAGUCGAACGAUGAAGCCCAGCUUGCUGGGUGGAUUAGUGGCGAACGGGUGAGUAACACGUGAGCAACCUGCCCCUGACUCUGGGAUAAGCGCUGGAAACGGCGUCUAAUACUGGAUAUGUCCCGUCACCGCAUGGUGUGCGGGUGGAAAGAUUUUUCGGUUGGGGAUGGGCUCGCGGCCUAUCAGCUUGUUGGUGAGGUAAUGGCUCACCAAGGCGUCGACGGGUAGCCGGCCUGAGAGGGUGACCGGCCACACUGGGACUGAGACACGGCCCAGACUCCUACGGGAGGCAGCAGUGGGGAAUAUUGCACAAUGGGCGAAAGCCUGAUGCAGCAACGCCGCGUGAGGGAUGACGGCCUUCGGGUUGUAAACCUCUUUUAGCAGGGAAGAAGCGAAAGUGACGGUACCUGCAGAAAAAGCACCGGCUAACUACGUGCCAGCAGCCGCGGUAAUACGUAGGGUGCAAGCGUUAUCCGGAAUUAUUGGGCGUAAAGAGCUCGUAGGCGGUCUGUCGCGUCUGCUGUGAAAUCCCGAGGCUCAACCUCGGGCUUGCAGUGGGUACGGGCAGACUAGAGUGCGGUAGGGGAGAUUGGAAUUCCUGGUGUAGCGGUGGAAUGCGCAGAUAUCAGGAGGAACACCGAUGGCGAAGGCAGAUCUCUGGGCCGUAACUGACGCUGAGGAGCGAAAGGGUGGGGAGCAAACAGGCUUAGAUACCCUGGUAGUCCACCCCGUAAACGUUGGGAACUAGUUGUGGGGUCCUUUCCACGGAUUCCGUGACGCAGCUAACGCAUUAAGUUCCCCGCCUGGGGAGUACGGCCGCAAGGCUAAAACUCAAAGGAAUUGACGGGGACCCGCACAAGCGGCGGAGCAUGCGGAUUAAUUCGAUGCAACGCGAAGAACCUUACCAAGGCUUGACAUACACGAGAACGGGCCAGAAAUGGUCAACUCUUUGGACACUCGUGAACAGGUGGUGCAUGGUUGUCGUCAGCUCGUGUCGUGAGAUGUUGGGUUAAGUCCCGCAACGAGCGCAACCCUCGUUCUAUGUUGCCAGCACGUAAUGGUGGGAACUCAUGGGAUACUGCCGGGGUCAACUCGGAGGAAGGUGGGGAUGACGUCAAAUCAUCAUGCCCCUUAUGUCUUGGGCUUCACGCAUGCUACAAUGGCCGGUACAAUGGGCUGCGAUACCGUAAGGUGGAGCGAAUCCCAAAAAGCCGGUCCCAGUUCGGAUUGAGGUCUGCAACUCGACCUCAUGAAGUCGGAGUCGCUAGUAAUCGCAGAUCAGC